AUCCCUGACAUUUAUUUAUAAAUUUUUAAUUAAAAACCAAGGUUAAUUGAUCCAAACUGCGAUAUAUAAAGUGCGUUAAUGUAAAAUCUAUUUUAUCCUCAAUGUGAAACUUCGAAAAUUGACAAAUCAGAAUAACUUUUUUUUCACCUUUCUUCGUUAUCGUUAUGUUCUUCUGAUUUAAAAUUCUUGACACGAAAUAGAAUUAAAUUAUAAUGUUUAAAGAAAUAUUUACAUCUGUCAUUGAUAGUGCUGAUUCUAAAUGAUGACGUAAUUAGUUUUUAUGUAUCCCUUAAAAAGUGUCCCUUAAUAAGGGUUUUACUGUACUAUCAUUGUAAGAGUACACAUAUAACAUUUCUCUGCCUUGUUUUCUAGCAUGCGUACAACGUCUCAGCGUCACUCACAGACAUAUUUACGCGUUAUUAAAAGGAAGGAUUUGCUGUAUUUAUCUUCUUAGCUUAUUGAAUAAACUCAUUAGGAGCA
Molecule: non-coding RNA, 480 nt
Organism: Osmia lignaria (orchard mason bee)
Lineage: Eukaryota; Metazoa; Arthropoda; Insecta; Hymenoptera; Megachilidae
Source: RefSeq, a predicted model, not a curated record